AACGCGAAGAACCUUACCUGGGUUUGACAUGCACAGGACGCCGGUAGAGAUAUCGGUUCCCUUGUGGCCCGUGUGCAGGUGGUGCAUGGCUGUCGUCAGCUCGUGUCGUGAGAUGUUGGGUUAAGUCCCGCGACGAGCGCAACCCUUGUCUCAUGUUGCCAGCGCGUUAUGGCGGGGACUCGUGAGAGACUGCCGGGGUCAACUCGGAGGAAGGUGGGGAUGACGUCAAGUCAUCAUGCCCCUUAUGUCCAGGGCUUCACACAUGCUACAAUGGCCGGUACAAAGGGCUGCGAAGCCGUGAGGCUUAGCGAAUCCUUGAAAGCCGGUCUCAGUUCGGAUCGGGGUCUGCAACUCGACCCCGUGAAGUCGGAGUCGCUAGUAAUCGCAGAUCAGCACGC
Molecule: ribosomal RNA, 398 nt
Filed under: uncultured Mycobacterium sp.
Lineage: Bacteria; Bacillati; Actinomycetota; Actinomycetes; Mycobacteriales; Mycobacteriaceae
Description: bacterial SSU rRNA
Rfam family: Bacterial small subunit ribosomal RNA
Source: RNAcentral